AUUCCAGUCGAUCCUGCUGGAGGAUACUGCUAUCAGAAUUCGGCUAAGCCAUGCAAGUCAGCUCUCCCACCUGGGAGGGCGGCGAACGGCUCAUUAGCGCGUAGUCAAUCUACCCCGGGGACGUGGAUAAACACGGGAAACUGUGUGUAACCCGCGAUGGUCCAUCGAUGCUGGAAUGCUUGAUGGGCAAAACCGUGUGAGGAAUUGGACUCAUAUGGCCCCAGGAUGAGACUGCGUCUGAUUAGGUAGUUGGUGGGGUAACGGCCCACCAAGCCAAUAAUCAGUGGGGGCAUUGGGAGAUGGAGCCCCGAGAAGGGCACUGAGACAAGGGCCCUAGUCCUACGGGAUGCAGCAGGCACGAAAACUCUGCAAUGCGCGAAAGCGUGACAGGGGAAUUCUGAGUGGUAGGCUUUUAGCCUAUCUUUUGGCUAGACUAAAUAUCUAGCAGAAUAAGUUCCGGGCAAGACCAGUGCCAGCCGCCGCGGUAACACUGGCGGAGCGAGUGGUAUCCACGAAUAUUGGGCUUAAAGAGUCCGUAGCUGGCCUCUUAAGUUUCCUGUGAAAUCUCCGGGCUCAACUCGGAGGCGUGCAGGGAAUACUGGGAGGCUUGAGAGCGGGGGAGGUCAGGAGUAUUUUCGGGGUAGGAGUAAAAUCCUGUAAUCCUGAAAGGACUACCAGUGGCGAAGGCGCCUGACCAAAACGCGUCUGACAGUGAGGGACGAAGGCUAGGAGAACGAAUCGGAUUAGAUACCCGAGUAGCCCUAGCAGUAAAUUAUGCAGACUGUGGUGUUGCGUUGGCCUCGAGCCAAUGCAGUGCCGUAGCGUAGGUGUUUAGUCUGCCACCUGGGGAGUACGGCCGCAAGGUUGAAACUUAAAGGAAUUGGCGGGGGAGCACCACAAGGGGUGGAGGCUGCGGUUCAAUUGGAUUCAACGCCGGGAAUAUUACCAAGAGCGACGGCAGGAUGAAGGCCAGACUAAAGAUCUUGCCUGACGAGCCGAGAGGUGGUGCAUGGCCAUCGUCAGCUCGUGGUGUGAACUGUCCGGUUAAGUCCGGCAAACCUCACGAACCCAUUUUAAUCAUAACUGAGAGGGAAACGCAUGAAAGUGAAACUGAGCAGCGGGCUUGCAUAUGUGAUAGGCCUGUGGAAGGCAAGGAGGACGCGCGAGGGCAUUGGCAUUGUUGGAAAUUCCCAGAUACAGGAAAUUUUCAUCAAGUGCCUGCUCGACGAGAAAAUCGCGCCGCCUGAAAAAAUCAGGCUGCAGGGCGAGAGCGUCAUCUUCCAUCACGGCGCCUACCGCGAGUUCUUCAGGGAAUUCGCGCGCGAGCCUCACGAGCGGCUGAAACGCCGCAACGAGAAGAGCGCCGCGUAUUU
Molecule: ribosomal RNA, 1373 nt
Filed under: Candidatus Burarchaeum sp.
Lineage: Archaea; Nanobdellati; Microcaldota; Candidatus Micrarchaeia; Candidatus Burarchaeales; Candidatus Burarchaeaceae
Description: bacterial SSU rRNA
Rfam family: Archaeal small subunit ribosomal RNA
Source: RNAcentral